Molecule: ribosomal RNA, 119 nt
Filed under: Pteropus alecto (black flying fox)
Lineage: Eukaryota; Metazoa; Chordata; Mammalia; Chiroptera; Pteropodidae
Source: RNAcentral
GUCUACAGCCAUGCUACCCUGAACAAGCCCGAUCCCGUCUGAUCUCAGAAGCUAAGCAGAGUCAGGCCUGGCUAAUACUUGGAUGGGAGACCACCUAGGAAGACGAGGUACUGUAGGCA